This 152-nucleotide non-coding RNA is filed under the name Partenskyella glossopodia. Lineage: Eukaryota; Cercozoa; Chlorarachniophyceae. The record is from RNAcentral.
UGGUAAGCACCAUUCUCGCCGAAGCAAUAGAGAAGUUGCAGCUGCUCGCGAUGAUAUCGAACGAUACGAAGAGCCGCGGCCACCAGAAGCGCUCCAAGACCGACAUGCACGUGCUGCUGCAGAGGAGGGCGGAACUCGAGACGAGGUACUAC